Molecule: ribosomal RNA, 301 nt
Filed under: uncultured bacterium
Lineage: Bacteria
Description: partial 16S ribosomal RNA
Rfam family: Bacterial small subunit ribosomal RNA
Source: RNAcentral
CAGCCGCCGCGGGAACACGUAGGUGGCAAGCGUUAUCCGGAAUUAUUGGGCGUAAAGCGCGCGUAGGCGGUUUUUUAAGUCUGAUGUGAAAGCCCACGGCUCAACCGUGGAGGGUCAUUGGAAACUGGAAAACUUGAGUGCAGAAGAGGAAAGUGGAAUUCCAUGUGUAGCGGUGAAAUGCGCAGAGAUAUGGAGGAACACCAGUGGCGAAGGCGACUUUCUGGUCUGUAACUGACGCUGAUGUGCGAAAGCGUGGGGAUCAAACAGGAUUAGAUACCCGUGUAGUCCCUGUCUCUUAUAC